AUUGAACGCUGGCGGCAUGCCUUACACAUGCAAGUCGAACGGCAGCAUGGAGAGCUUGCUCUCUGAUGGCGAAUGGCGAACGGGUGAGUAAUGCAUCGGAACGUACCGUGUAAUGGGGGAUAACGUAGCGAAAGUUACGCUAAUACCGCAUACGACCUGAGGGUGAAAGCAGGGGAUCGCAAGACCUUGCGUUAUACGAGCGGCCGAUGUCAGAUUAGCUAGGUGGUGAGGUAUAGGCUCACCAAGGCGACGAUCUGUAGCGGGUCUGAGAGGAUGAUCAGCCACCCUGGGACUGAGACACGGCCCAGACUCCUACGGGAGGCAGCAGUGGGGAAUUUUGGACAAUGGGGGCAACCCUGAUCCAGCCAUGCCGCGUGAGUGAAGAAGGCCUUCGGGUUGUAAAGCUCUUUCGGCCGGGAAGAAAUCGCACAGGCUAAUACUCUGUGUGGAUGACGGUACCGGCAUAAGAAGCACCGGCUAACUACGUGCCAGCAGCCGCCGUAA
Molecule: ribosomal RNA, 504 nt
Filed under: uncultured bacterium
Lineage: Bacteria
Description: partial 16S ribosomal RNA
Rfam family: Bacterial small subunit ribosomal RNA
Source: RNAcentral